CAGGGACAGUGACAUCAUCAAGUCACUUAGAGCCCAACUUCAAUUUGCCCACAGCAGGGCUGGGAAACACAAGAUCCUGCCCUAGAGCUGAAAUGGGCACCAGGCUCUUCUUCUAUGUGGCCCUUUGUCUGCUGUGGGCAGGACACAGGGAUGCUGAAAUCAUCCAGAGCCCAAGACACAAGAUCACAGAGACAGGAAGGAAGGUGACUUUGACGUGUCACCAGACUUGGAACCACAACAAUAUGUUCUGGUACCGACAAGACCUGGGACACGGGCUGAGACUGAUCCAUUACUCAUAUGGUGUUCCAGACACUAACGAAGGAGAAGUCCCAGAUGGCUACAGUGUCUCUAGAUCGAAUAAAGAGGAUUUCCCCCUCACUGUGGAGUCUGCUGCCUCCUCCCAGACAUCUGUGUAUUUCUGCGCCAGCAGUGAGUCCACAGUGCUGCACAGCUGCCUCCUCUCUGCACAUAAAGGGCAGUUAGAAUGA
Molecule: non-coding RNA, 488 nt
Organism: Mandrillus leucophaeus (drill)
Lineage: Eukaryota; Metazoa; Chordata; Mammalia; Primates; Cercopithecidae
Source: the annotation of a RefSeq genome assembly